RNAcentral lists this long non-coding RNA (18958 nucleotides) under Capsicum annuum. RNAcentral describes it as "long non-coding RNA (CANN_LNC020204)". Lineage: Eukaryota; Viridiplantae; Streptophyta; Magnoliopsida; Solanales; Solanaceae. The record is from RNAcentral.
GUAAAUAUUUUCUUCUUAGAAAAAUGCUAGGCAACUUCUAUAUAAGUGAGUAAGAAACACCUCUCCCAUUAGGGCAAGAUAAUAAAUAGUGUGUAUGUAAGUAUAAGGAAGAUCUGAUUAAUGAUUUUUCUUAUGUUGUAAUAUGUUCAAGAAAUAAAAAGUUUGUUUCAUAUAUUCUUUGUCAAUCUUUUAUGCUGGUGAAAAAUGAAGGUUGCAAUAUUCGGCCUUAACGGAGGAAGGACGAAAUAGUAGCCUGAGAUAGUGAGUCACAAUAGGCUAAAAGGUUCUUCAUAGCCGGAAGGAGAAUCACUGCGGUGUUGAUACAGCUAACAUAAAAGAAAACUGAAAGGUAUAUGCAUAAACUCUAUCAUUUCAUGAACAUAUUAGCAUAAGAAAAGUCUAUUUUCAUAUCAACUCUAUACCUUCAUACAUAUUAUACGUUAUCAAUUACCUAUAGGGAAUUUAAAAUCAUGAUUGUUCAAAUUUGUCAUUAUGAAAGUAGUACACGAGUAAAACAAUUGAGAAGAUUGUAUUGGGAAUCCAAAAUGAUUAUUGCAAAAGUUGAUAGCGAUAUAAUAAUUUUUGAGAAAUUAUGUUCAACGAGUUUGUCGUUUAAAAAAUAAUUCAAAUAAAUCCGAAAUUAGCAGAUUAAAAAUAAUAUUUCUUUCAGCUAUUGGCCGAAAUCAUACUAUAAAAAUGACACAGAUUUCUCUGUUAAAAAGACAUAAGGCUAAGAUAAAGAAGACUAUUCUUUACGCUGCAUAAAAUAAUCAUCAUGAAGGUAAUACAACCAAAAUUAAUAAAGUUCAGAUAAAAUCUUUGGAAAUCCAAAACAAUUAUAAAUAGAAUUAAAGAAGACAUGAGGAAUUUGAGAAACUACCUUUGUAAAAUAUAUCGGUUUAAAACCACUUCAGUUAAUUCUGAAAUUAACAAGUUUAAAAUACUUCUACUUAGAGCUUUAGAUAGAAAUCGUGCUCUAAAAAACACACAGAAUUUUCUGUUAAAAAGAAAUAAGAUUAGGAUAAAGAAGACUAUUCUUUAUAGUGCCUAAUGAGUUAUUAUACUAUAUUCUUAGAUGAAAAUACAUUAAUCAAUAUUUUAAAAGUGAUAAAAUUAAAUAACGACCUACAAGAAAAAAUUGUAGAAAAAAUUAUAGAUCAUCUUGUCCAAUAACAAUGGUCUAUUCAUGACUAUUCCUAUGUGGAUUAGGGGUGGGCGUUCAAUUGGUUCGGUUUGGUUGUUUAAUAUCAGUUCAGCUUAUCGAUUUUUGGAUUGACAAAAAUGACAACCAUAACCAAACCGAAAUAAAAUUGGUUUGGUUCGGUUUCUUCAAAUUUGGUUCGGUUAUUUUGAAUUUUUAUUUCGGUUUGAAAUAUUAAAGUAGAGAGUGGAAUUAGGGUUACUAAAGUGUAUAUAUAAUUAAUAUAAUAUAUUGAUAAUAUAUAUUAUUAUAUAUAUAUAUAUAAUAAAUUAAUAAUAUAUAUAUAUUAUAAUAUUAUUUAUAAAAUUUUGGUUUUCGAUUUUUCGAUUUAACCAAAAAAAUUUUUAAGAAAACCGAAAUUUAAAAAUUGAAAACCGAAAUCAAUCCGAAAAAUCAAAACAAAAAUUAAAUUUCAGUUCGGUUUUUCGAUUUUUUCAGGUUUUCGGUAUUCAUGCCUAGCCCUAAUGUGGAUAGUGAUGAUGAUCCAUACUAUUGGUAUGACAAUGGUUAUUUCACUGAUUAUAUAUAUAUAUAUAUAGUAAAACAAUCUUAAUUGAUUCUCAUUAACCGAAUACUAUGAGAUUGCAAUAUAACAAACAAGGUGCUACCAAGAUAAUACAAUACAAGAGUAAAUACUAACACAAUACCAAAUCAUAUCAAGAAAUAUCAAUGCAGUGUAAUGUAGUGCUAAUGAUGAGAUGAUGAUGAAUGGUGAAAGUCAUUGAAUGACUUUUUAUAUACACCCACCGAGAUCACAAGCUACCGGGUAGGAUUCAUAGGGGGUCGCAAUCCAUAUACUCAUAUAAUCUCAAUGUUGUGUCUCAGAUCAACCUUAUUGGCACAUCCCUCAGUAUAGGCAUUUCAUAAGGUGUCUCAAUUUCUUAUAAAAAUUAGAAUGUCUCAGUGGUACCAAUAUCUCAUGAAUAUGCAUACGGGGUCUGAGGAUAUAAUUCUCACAACUAAUCGAUAUGAAGUCAAAAUCCAUUCAAUACAUGUAUAAGUGUGAUCAAAAUCAACUCAAUAUAUCAAUAAUUCAUAAUAUCAAUUUUCAUUUAGCACCACUAGAAUAAAUAGUUAUAUAGUCAUCAAUAUAAUCUUCUUUUAACCCCACUCGGACAUUAGUAUAAUGAAAAUACAAUUAACUACUUAUAUAAGAUCUACAAUGUCAAAUCAAGUACCCACUCGAAUGACAAAAAAAUAUAUAAGACACCUAAUGCACAAAACAUGACUAACAAUAUCACGUCAAGUCCCCACUCAGACGCCAUAAUAGAAUAUCCUCUCAAUUAAAAGCAAUAUGUAUAUAAGCCCCCCCUCCCCCCAGGCAUACGAUCAUAAAUAAUUACUCAAGUCCAUAAAUAAUUACCCAAGUCCAUAAUGAAGUUUGUAUAAGUCUCACAUGGGUAUCACAAAAUAAAUAACAAUCCGAAAAAUAAUAAAUCACGGUCUUCUCAAACCUAACUUGGUUCAUUAAGUCUCACCAACUAUCACAAGUAUAUUCAUUCUCUAAGAAUUCUCUAAACCUCAAAUUCCAUCAAUAAUGACGAUAAUAACAUCAUUACCCCUAAAAAGAAACUAAUCCACAAUUAUCUCAACAAAGUCCGCUAACACAAUUCAAGCUCUAAAAUGGCAAUCCAACAACAAUUAUCUGAGAAUCACUGGGUUAUCUAUCUAUAUUCUACUCUACGGACAUUAUCAAUAAUAAUACUAACUAAUCAAGUAAAUCAUCCAAUUACAAUCCAUCAAAGAUUUUGAUACCCACGGAGAUGCUCUUCAUUUUACCGAAGUGUGAUCCCCGAUCCUAAGUGAUAGAAAAAAAAAACAAGUGUACAACUCAUAAACACUUUGAAAAAAGUCAAGGUAUAUCUCAACUUGUCUUAAAUGGAGAUCCGCAAAUCCAAAAGCAGUCCAAAGAAAUCGAGAGCCCAACUCUCUCGAAUCCACACCAAUGUGUCCAAUAUACUUAAACAUGUCAUCUAUAGUCAAAAGAAAGCUAAUGAUCCCCAUAUUGACCCUAUUUAAGGCAGAUCCAAAUUAAAAUGAGUUCGAAAAUAAAAAAGUUAACACCAAAAUUUUAUUUAAGAAUAGUAUUCUCCAUAUCAAGAGGAGUCUAUAGUUGAAACCCCAAAAAAUAAUGAGCAGAAAUCGAAUCUCAAAUUGAAGAAAAAUCAAUUUAUACUUUACCAGAUAAAAAUUCCCAAAAUCGUAGUUUGAAAUCAUGAUUUUAAAAAGUUUUUGAUGAUAUAAUCGAUGAAAAUUUAUGAGAAUAAUGUUUUGAAACUUACCCAAGCUCAAAUGAUGGAAAAAACUUCAAGAAUCGGCUAGACUGGAAGCUCAAAGGUCCAAAAAUAGAGAAAAAGUGUGAAAAUGGAUUUUUAUAUCAAACCUAGCUUUGGCCGGUUAAGUGAUCAUCACUAAAAUGAUGGGUGACCGCUAAAGCGGUCUGGUCUACAUUGUUAUACUUGCUAAAGUGGUUAAGUGACCGCUUUAGUAGUAGGCGGCGAGUCAUGCAUGACCGCUAAAGCGGUGCUCUUCUGCUUAAGCGGACAUUGGUAAAGUGGUAUUAUGAUCACUAAAGCUCCUAUACCAGGAACUUUGCUAGGUUGCAAAGUAGUCGGUUGACCCCUCGACAUUCGUUUGACAUUUCGUGAAUGCAAACAAACUAUAUAUGCUACUAGGAUAAUUUUGAUAUUCUGAACUUAAUGAUGAUGUUUUAAUUUUCAAAAAAAGAUUUUUUUCACUAAAUUGAUCCCCAGGACUGCUUUUUAUUAUUUUCCUUAUGAUGGACCAAAAUACAAGAUAAGGGUCUUGAACUCGAAUCAACCGCACUACUGACCAAAAUUUGAUAUUCCAAAUCUGUUGGCGACGUUCAAACUGUAACCCAUCUCUCAGAACAAUGAAUGUUGAUCAAAGUCAACUAUAUGACUUCUUAAAUCUCUAAAAAAGUCAUAAACUCACAUAAAACUUCUCGAUCGCAUCGAAAACCAUGCCCGCUAUCUUCAAACUUCAAAAUUAACAUGUAGAAACUAUGGAGAAGGACAAAAUGAUCAAAACACAGAAAUUUCUAAAUUUCAAUACAAGGAUCAUUACAGGAGUCAUGUUACCCAUUCCUGAAGAUGACAAACAACAAAAUACGAUUAUGAAAAGGGAUAAAAUGACCAAAACACGCCAAAUGGAUUUAAAAAUAUAUGCUUAAUAUCAUCCACAGUUUCUUCAUAAUUAUCCAAAUGGUCCCAAAUAUUUAACUUCAUCUACUGCCAAACGACAAAAUCACAUGCUAAUAGUACUUGAAUUUUUAUUUUUGGAUUUUCUAUUUGAUCUCUGAUAUUCAGUUUUGAGCUUAUUUCUAGAAGACGCUCUCAAUAGAGUAUUUUUAUUCUCAGAAGUUUAAGUCGAAAUCUUUGAUUAAGAAAUUGGAUUUCAAUCAUUUAUCACAACUUAUGUUGGUGAAACAUAUUACUUGCUCCACCCUUCAUUUCACCUUAUUUAACAUUAUUUUACUUGGGAGGACCCAACUCGCUCCUUCUUCGUGAUCAUGAUCAAAUCCUGUGAUUGAAUGUUAAAGGAUUUUCCACUCUGCGGUCGCAAUAGGGGCGUCACAAACGUGAAGAAGGGGCUAGGUUCACCAGUUGAAGCAUCUCAAGAAAAAAUCUCUGUGACGGACCCUCGAAAUGCGUUCGGAACUCCAUGAACACAAUUCAACUAUGCUACUAAACCAAAUUUGUCAUUCUAAAAUCAACGAAUCAGUUAGAAUUUUCAGUGCAGCUGUUAUUGUUAGAAGAUGUCCAAAGUUAACUUUGGGCCUUGAUUUCUAACAUCUCAUUUAAACUCUCAAAAUUUUACCGAAAUCCUCGAAAUCUGAACCAACUAUUCUACUUAUUCAAAAUUGAGGGAAUACAAAAAUGUAUUCUUUUUGCUAAAUAAAUUAAAUUUUUUAUUUCAUCCAAAUGGUCCUGACUUGUUAAUGUCAUCCAAAUGGUCCUAAUUUAUUAAUAUCAUCCAAAUGGUCCUACACGUACACUUAAAAUCUGUGGGAAAAUGGCAAAGUCACAUGCUAGCAAUAAGCACGUUUUUCUCGUUGAAGAACAAAAGUAGGGACUCGUGUUUUCCACAAACUUCAUUCUUAAGUCUUCCCAUAUAUUUUGAACUCCAAAUUAUACAUUUUGAACUCUAUUUAAAUUGUGAGUGGACUCCAUAAUCCUAAUCUUAGUAAUCUACCUAAAUUAAAUUCUUUUAUGUAUUUAUCAAUAGAUAUUUUUUGAUCUCAACUUGAUACUCUAAUUUGUUGUUUAGAUUGAAAUUCCUUAUCCUUAGUAGUUUCUAGGUAAUUAAUUAUCCUCAAGUUUCUGAAAUUUGUUUAUAAUUUAUAUCUUUGAUUGUAAUGAAUUGUGACAAAAAUUGAUUAGAUGAACACAUUUCAUACUUAUAGAGCGUAAAAGAUCUCUUUUCAUUUAAACACACACAAAUUUAAAACAAGAUACAUAAAGGACUGAUGUAUCACAACUUAUUUAAUGUGUCAAAUGGCUACUAUAGGCCAAGAACACAACAUUAUAAGUUACCCUUUUAAGAAAGGCAACACUUCAUUUAAUUUUGUUUGACAGUAAAUCCAUAAUCAGACUUAAUUACGCCCUGAAAAUCUCUUCUUCAAGCAAUUGUGCUUCGAGAGAUUUAGCAUCCUGAACCAAAAUAGUUCCAGCAUCAUUAGGAAUAUUGUCAAAUGCACAUAUCUUAGUGCAUAGGCAGUUCCUUAGGAGUUUGCUACAAUGACCAUCUUCAAAUUUAUCCUUCUCGAUACAAACUUUUCUACAUGAAGAGUCAACCCAACAUAAUCCUUCAAAAUAUUUGCUUUUUGUUUUGCAAAUGUUAUAACCUUGCACCCCUACAAUAAUUCAUAAGUUGUUACAAAUGUUAGAAAAGAAAGACACGUAAUCGAACCAAAUAUAUACAAACAACUUUAAAGUGUGAAUCAACUCACAAUUCCUAAAGAAGUAUUACUUAAAAUUUCAUCAAGAUUAAUUAGCCACUAGACUAUAAGUUCAUAAAAGAGGACCACAUACUUGAAAUUUUUUAUCAAACAAACAAAUUCUUUGAAAGAAUCAACAAAAAUGGUUAAUGCAAACACUAUUUAAGUCUUUGUGUCUUUAGAGUAAUACUACAAAUUAUAUAUUUUGAAUAAAAGAUGAAGACAAACCAUAGGCAACAAAGAGUGUCAUUGCCAAGAAAAGAAAUGCCAUGAAGUAAACGGAACGAGCCAUAGUCUCUUCGAAUGACUAAAAAAGUUUGCAAAUAUUUUUUUUAAUAAUAAGAAAGAUUGCAAUUUUGAGUUGUGAAUGAACACUAGAAAAAUGGAGGUAUUUAUAGGCACUGAAAUAAGAGUAAAACCAGAAAAGAUAAAAUUUAGUAGGUCCAAUAAAUAUGUGAAGCAAUGGCUGUAAGUAAAUUUACAACAUUAUGUGAAUCACAUGUUAAUGGUCUAAACGUAUAACCAAUUAAUGAUUCAAUAGACACGUUUUUAACAUUCAAGUGAAAAAAACAAAACAUUCUUAUUAAUCCUAGUUACCUACUCUAUAAUAAUUUGUGAAAAUUUGUAGGAAUUAAAAAAACAAAGACAUCAUGCGUAAGCUAAUAAUUGUUAAUUUAACAAUAAUAGAUAAAAUGACAAAGAAAAAAAUUAUACAAAAGACUUUAUAAUACAAGGUAUAAGUUAUAACCUACAUAUAACAAUACUAAUAUAAAAAGAUAUUCUAAAGCUAUUGAGAAAAUAAAUCUCCCCUUAAGUAAAACUCUCUAAAAGAAUACAUUGAGGAUGUUGUUAUGUUGUAGUUGUAUUUGAGGAGAAAUAGUUUUUUAUUUAUAGAAGUUUUUUCUUCUCAAAAAAUAUAGAUAUGGAAAAAUCUUUUUCUACCAAAUAAACAUUUUUCAUCAAGAAGAGAACAUUUCUGAAAUAAAUCACAAUUAUAUAUGAUGUAGAAAGUAGAAUCCAAAAUAAGGCAUAACCCAUAACAAAAUCUUGUCAGUGUAAAGUUUAUCCCUUUUUUUAGGGGAGCUAUACGUUGCCUUACUAAACCUAUUGAGGCAUAACAAAGCCUCUUCUAAUUAACAUGCAUGUAAAAAAUAAGAAAAGAAGAACUAAAUAUUCUAUGAUCAUCAUAGAGUUAAUAACCAACUCUAUGAUGAUAUUAAAAAUGAUAAUACUUAAGUAGUGAAAGAUUAAAAUAAGCAAGUGUGUGGAUUCAGGUCCAUAUUUCUUUAAAAAAUUUAAAUAUUCAAGAAGAUGUAGCCCUAUAAAGAUUCGAUUCUUCACCUUGUAUUUUCCUCCAACCAGUCUAACAUAUCUUCAUAUUUCAUCAAUUCUUCUUGGUCUAUUGAAUCUUGUUGAUAUAACUGAAACUUGUUUCCUUUUUCUUUGCCACCCUCAGUGGUAAUUGUCUUAGAAUAACCUCUUCAUACACUUUACAAUUCCAACUAUAUUUUCUUUCACGAUUCUUCUUUUUCUUGAAUCCUUUCCUUUGUUUCCUAGGUGAAAGAUCUCUAUCCCUAGUCACGUUAGCAAACCAUUCAUCCAAUACUUCUCCUCAUUUUCUUCGUCAAAUAUGUCAACACCUAAAUCACCCUCAAACGCUUCCAUUGGAUCUUCUACACGUUGGAGGGAAUGAGGCCUGCUUCUCCUCCUCGUCCAUAUCUGCCUAACUUAUUAUAUUUGUACCACUUUUUUGGUCACUCUUGGCUUCAACCUUGUUGUUUGAACGCGUCGAAGUUAAGACCACUACCCCAUCCACAUCUUGUUCAUCCCCCUUGAACAAUAAUUGAGUACUGGUGUGUCUACUUGUUCAACUUUAUACAAGUUUAAGUGCCUACUUGUACACACCCAAAGUUGGAGGUCAUAGAUGUGACCUUAGGCAAGUUAAAGGGAAUGUUUAUGUAUUGUGUCUUUAACAUUCAAGUGAAAACAAAACAUUCAUGUUACCUAUAGCUACCUACUCUGUGAAAAAUUGUUGGAAUUGAAAUAACAAGUGUCCUCCUCAAGGUAAUAUUACAAAUCUUGAUGACAAUAAACUGUGAAUGCAAUUAAUGAUGAUUACCAUAAAUAUUUUGAUAAUCAUCAUUAAAAAAUAACCAGUACUCAAUUAGAUUUUCUAUUUAUUUUUCAAGACAUCUAGAAAAAUUCACAAUAUUGCUAUCUUGGUCCAACAGUUUACGUAUAACAACCAGAUGUACAUAAGUUUCUAUGAAUUCUUUUACAUAUUCAUCAACAUAAAUAUUUUGAUCUCAUCUCGAUACUAAAUGCAAGUAACCAUAAGAUAAAUAUCGAGAGAUUGAAGUAAGUUUGGAGUUCGUCAACACAACCUCAAUCUCUACAACAUCAAUGUUGGGUGAAAAUAAUCUACAAGUUGCUAUUUGGUCCAAUACCUGCAUGAGGAGAUGUUAGGGCAUGAGAAGUUUUGAUGAUAGACAUAUGAAUAAAACAUGUUGUGAAAUCUGGUCCAUUCAAGUGAACAAAGCUAAUAUGCAGACAAGUUACUGAUAAGAUGACUUUGCGUACAAACAAAAGUGGAUAAAUAUUUACCACAGCAGAAGAAGUUGAGUGGAACAUGAACAAGAAGUCCUGCAAAAGAUUCCUAGUCAAGAUAAAGAGAAACAUUAAGUUAUGCAAAAGUGGGGUUGAUCAAGGAGUCUAGCAAUAAGAGAACAUAAAUCAAAAGAGUCCUAUUAAAUCUGAGAGAGUGAGCGGCGGCAGCAACUAGAAGAGGAGUUACUUGAUAGAGCCCUACACAAGAUAGAAGAAGAGAUCAAAAAGGACUACAUCAGAAGGUGCGCAUAUAUACGCCAAGCUUCAUUCAUGUAACUCACUCAAGCAUUGAAAAGAUAAUCAACAAUCAACAUAUCAGUUCACAUACUUGAAGAAGAACCUGGUCUCUUACUUAGCAAGUCGUAGACAGUGUGUAGUGGGUAGGUUCUUUGAGUUGUAAUGAGUCAUUGUUCUAGUAUCAGAGAUCUAUAAACUGAGUUAGGAGUUGUGUCUUCAAGUUAGGGAAAUCGAAGACUUGGGAACACUUAUCUUGGGAAGAUUUGUGUUUUUGUUGUGAUAGGAGUUAGAAGUUUUAAUUCCUAGUUUACAAGAAGUCUUAUAAUUCUGUUGAUUGUUGAGGCUCAAGUAUUAUAGUGAAGUUGGGGUUAAAUCGUGUAGAGGUAUAGGUCAUGGGUUUUUACAACUUUCUUGAGCUAGGUGUUUUCCACACAAAAAUACUAUGUUCAGUAUUCACUUCUGUGAACUGAUGUGUGAGAUAAUGCUUACACAUUUGAGGCUUUUAACUAAGAAUAAUUUGAAGUCUCAAGCAACUUUUGUCAUUUUUGAUUGGUUUGUGUUUGAUUUUUUAGUUUAAGAUGAUAUGAUAAAGAACCAACAAGAAUGGAAACAAAUAAGUUGAAAUCUGAAGACAAGUAUGGCUGACAACAUUUGUGAUAAGUCGUCAGCCCUGUGAUAAGCUAUCAAGUUGGUCGUCAACAGUAUAAAAAAGAUUGGCAUAAAGUGGAAGCUGUGAUAACAUUUUGUGAUAGGUUGUCAAGUUUCUGAUAAGUUAUCAAAAGCGUCGUCAGCCUAAGGCAGCACAGGAGAAUUGAAGAAGAGCCUUGACAACAUUUGUGAUAGGUCGUCAAGGUGAUGAUAACUUGUCAAGUUUGUCGUCAGCCUUAAGCAGGAAGAUCCAAAAUUGAAGAAGGAGCUGACGACAUUUGUGUUAAGUCAUCAGGAGGCCAUCACAAAUGUCGUCAACUAAUUCGAGGGCUUUCUGAUUUUUAUUAAUUUGUUUUCUUAUUUAGGGUGAACUAUUUAAAGCUUUGUUUUAUGGUUUUUUUGAAAGAGAAUUCCACACAUAGAGUUUGACACAUUGAGUUUUUGAGAAUACUUUUGAUAUUUUUCUCUCUCAACUUUUGGCUUGUAAAAGCAAAUACUUUGAAAGAUUAUUAUCAUUACUUUGGGAUUUUCCUCAAUGAUCUAAUCUGUGAUUCAAUAGUUAAUAUUCUUCUUGUAGUAAGUUUAACUUUCAAAGCAUGAAUACAACUUGUUUUUUCGAUUUUAACAUAAUGAGUGGCUAAAUUUCAUUAACCUGAAUUAUGGGAUCUAUGGUUUGGUCUUGAUAAGGUGCUUAGAGUUCAAGAUUCAAAAGAUGGUAGGAUUUCUUGGUAAUUCUGAGGUUUUAAUUAAAGUCUGUUGGUUGAAAAUGAUAGACAACACCCGCUUUGGUUUGCUUGAUAAAGAAAUCAAAUAUAGUGGGAAGUGAAUUAUCAACAAGGACUUGGAAACACUCCGUUUAAUAAUCAACGCUGUAACAAGGUUGGUUAACCUGAGGUAAAAUCUGGGCAUUGAAUAUAAAUUCCCUAAGUCCGAGAGGAUUAGGUAAUUAAACACUUAAGUAGGUCGAGAGACAUUUAAGCAUAAUAUCGAUAAAGAUAACUUGAUGUCCUACCUACCGUGAGAAUCUUGAACCACUUGCAGCAUCUGUGAAGUACCGAAAGCCCUAGUGAACAUAAUUUUGGUUUCUCUAUAAACUCUUGAGUACAAAUGCUAAUCAAAGUGACUGGUAAUUACUUGUUAAAUUUAAAACCCCCAUCUCCGAAAACAUUCAACUAUCAGUUUACUAACUCACAAAAGACUUACACUUACACCAUAUUUCCUAUGGGAUUCGACCCCAACAUAGUUGGGUUUUAUAUUGACAACGAUCGCUUACAUUCUCAUUUAGAGGUGUAGUUUGAGCAUUAUCUAAAAUGGCGUUGUUGCCGGGGAAUACGGUUGUAAACUAAGUUUGUGAGCAUAAAUUGACUAUUAGUUAAGUUUCCUAGUUUUACGUUUGUUUGUUGUUUUUGUUUAUUUGAAGGAUUUUAUAGUGUAUGCCAGCACCAGAAGUUCUAGAGAACUGUUAUUACCACCUAAUCCGGAACCGCAAUGAAUAGGAAGAAUGACAGAAUAGCAAGAGGCUGACCGACUAGUAGCCUUGGCUGGAGCUCAGGUGAAUGUGCAAACUGUUGGGCAACAGGCACGACAUCCAAAUCCUAAGGACAAAGAUUUGGGAGACGAGGAUUUGCUGAAUCCUGGUAACCCAAGGCGUGCAGAGCAGAUAGCUGCACCAAUACGGUGUAAUGUUAACCGGAACUGCCUAUUUUGAGAAAGACCAAAGUACCAUCCAGUCCAGUAUGAUCCCAAUAAUGAUGAUGGCAUAGACGGGGAAAGUGCAAUGAGUGCAAUCAUUCCUCCACCGUUGGCACCUAGGGAUAAUUUCAAUAUUACGAGUACUAGGAUCCAACUCCUCAAUCUGAAGGGUUUGUUUGGUGGUGUUCCUGGGGAUGAUCCAAACAUGCAUCUGGUGAAUUUUGUCACCAUCUGCAAAUAUUUUGACAACCCAAAAGUGGGCCAAAAUGCUAUCUGAUUGAGAUUGUUCCUGUUGUCUCUGUCUGAGGAGGCAACUUUGUGGUUAAAUAAACUAACACCUGAUUUUAUAACCAACCGGAGGCAGUUGAAAGGAGAUUUCCUAGAAAGGUUCUUUCCUCCUUCCAGGAAGGUACAGUUGAGGGAUGAGAUCAGCAACUUUAGGCAACUCCCGACUGAAGCUUGCAUGAAACAUGGGAAAGAUUCAAGAAGAAGCUGACACAGUGUUCGAACCAUAACAUGAUGGAUAUACAUUUGAUAGAGACUUUAUACAGGUCUCUUAACUCCAUUACAAAGCCAACUAUAGAUAAUGUUACUGGUGGUUCAUUUGUUGAUCUAACAUUUCCAGAGGCUUCAGAGAUGUUGGAUAGAAUGACCAAAUAGAUUCGAGCAUGGCAUACUAGAGACUCUAUGGUAGCUAGCCCCAUGCCAGGUGUUACUGUGGAACAACGUAGAAGAGAAGAGGAGCGUGACCAAGACAUAGAUCAUCUUAAAAUGCAGAUAGACUUACAGACAAAGCACUUACUAUCAGACAAGGUUGAAAAGGUGAAAGCUGUGGGAUCUCAGGAUAGAAGUGAUGCUGAUGUAGACAAAGAGGAUAACUAUGUUAAUAAUUAGAGGGAUUUCUGAGGCAAUAACCAAGUGAAUCAAGGUCGGACUUACUAUCAUAAGCCUAGUUAUAAGGAUAGGGAUCAGGGAAAUUGGAGGAAUAACAAUGACAGGUGCGGGCUAUAUGUUCCUCCUGGCAAUCGUGAGGAUGCUUCAACAAAUUCCAAAAAGAUGUCCAUAGAGGACAUGAUGGCUAAGUUGUUGAAGAGAGUGGAGGCAACUAACUCUGGUGUGACCACUAUGAAGACUGAUCUGACAUCCAUCAGUCAGUUGGUGCACUCACACUCUACCGUAAUCAAACAAUUAGAGCAGUAGAUGAGCCAACUUUCUGCAACAUUCAACCAGAGAAAGAGUGGAAUGUUACCAAGCGAUACGGUCCAGAAAAUAUGGAAUGAUUUAUCAUGUAUGGAGAUUACUACUAGGAGUAGUAAGAUGUUAUCUGGCCCUUCUGUGGGUAAAUUUGUAGAUAAUAAGGUAGUUGUUGAUGCAUCGGAAGAAGGUGAUCCAGUGGAGUCUGAAAAGCUUGAUAAUUCUUACAAUGUUUCGUAGAAAGAUAAAGGGAAGGGAAAGGAGGUAGUGCUAAAAACUAUCCCAAGACCACCACCUCCCUUUCCUUAAUGGUUGUAAAAGAAAGGCCGAUGAUGCAAAAUUUAGCAAAUUCUUGGCAAUGCUCAAGCAAUUGACAAUAAAUAUGUCGUUGGUUGAGGCACUAGAGAAAAUUCCAGGAUAUGCGAAGUUCAUGAAAGAACUGGUGACCAAGAAAUGGAAGGCUAGACAUGAGUCGGAGGAAAAUCUUCUCCAUUGUGGUGCUAUUUCUAUAAGAUCUUUAGUGCAGAAAAAGGCAGAUCCGGGAGCAUUUACCAUCCGUGCAUUAUUGGUUCCCUAAAUUUCACAAAAUCACUAUGCGACUUGAGAGCUAGUAUAAACCUAAUGCCACUUGAUGUGUACAAAAAACUAGGUUUGGGGGACCCUACCCCGACAAACAUGCAUUUAGUGAUGGCAGAUAGGUCUGUGAAGCGGCCUGUGGGCAUAUUAUAUGAUGUCUUAGUUAAGAUGGCCGAUUUUAUUCUGCUUGCUGAUUUUGUAGUCCUGGAUUGCGAGGUGGACUUCGAAGUGACUAUCAUUCUGGGUAAACCAUUCCUUACAACGUUGCAAGUGAUAGUAGACAUGGAGCUAAAUGAGCUAAAAUUCAGGCUCAAUGACAAAGAAUCAUGCUUCGAGAUACACACAUCCAUGACUCAACAAAAAGUUAUGGGUGUUUUCCCAAUCGUUGACGUACUCUAUCAUGACAGUAAAGGGGUCUCAACCAGUUGCUUAGCGCAGUCUGAGUAGUCAAGAUAACCAAGUCGUGUCGCGAUAUUAAAUCAAGCACUAUUGGGAGGCAACCCAAAAUUUUUAUAUUCCAGCAAAUUAUUUAUUUUUGUAGUUAGGUUCUAGUUCAAGAAAGGUGGAAUCGAUAUAUCUAGCCAAGUGCUCUUGAUGACAUUUUUGAUGGGUUGUCACAAUUGUGAUAAGCCGUCAGAUUUGUCGUUAUAAAUAGCAACUCUGAGGUAGUUUCUGUUAAGGCUGACGACAUUUGUGAUAAGUUAUCACAAUUGUGAUGGCUUAUCAGAAAUGCCGUCAAAAAAAUCCCAAAAUUAGUUGAAAAUAUGGGUAACCUUUAAAAGACCCGACUCGGCCUACAGCUUGGCCUUUCCACCUUCCCGCAUGGUUUUUAUUUCUCUUAAGUUUAUUUUAUUUCCAUAUUUAUCUAUUCUCUUCCCUUUUUCAAAGUCUUUCUAUGUAAAAGAAAAAGCAAGUUUCCUUGUGUGUGGGUUUGCAAUUAAAAUCAAGAAUUUCUUCCUACUUCCUCUUGUGCAUGUAAUCACAUUGAAGGCUCCCAUCAGGUAUGCUCUAAAUUUAACUUUUCUUUUCAAGUGGUAAGUGAUAGAUUGAUGAAAACCCAAGUUACGAAGAGGCUUGAACCAAAUUCAACUUGAAAAGGGGCUAAAAAUCAGAACUACGGUUUUGCGAGGCAAUCCUAAAGCUUUAAGUUCAGCUCAAAAAUGGAAUUCAAGUGAAUUUUGAGAAAUAAUGGGACCAAAAAUUGAGUUAAUGUCAAAAGUGUGGUUCUGAUAAGAGCUGGCGACAUUCAUGAUAAGCUAUCACAACUGUGGCGGCAUAUCAGAAAUGUCGUCAAAGACUGCUAAGAAUAAUGUGGGUUUUGUUUAGAGCUGACGACAUUUGUGAUAGGCUAUCACGGUUAUGAUGGCUUUUAAGAAAUGUCAUCAGAAUUUGAUAAAAUCAUAUGAGUUUGGUUUAGAGCUAACGAUAUUUAUGAUAGGCUAUCACAUUCAUGACGGCUUAUCAGAAAUAUCGUCACACUUGGAACCUGAAGCAUGAAUGAGCCUUUUCAAAGGAUGUGAAGCUUAAAUGAUUAAUGUGUUUGUGUUUAUGCUCUUGAGGAUUGACUAAUGGUUUUUCUAUUGCUACAAGUUGUGAAAUGGCACCAAAAGGAAAGAACCCAAAAUCCAUAAAGAAAGUGACCAAGGGAAGUUUACCUCGGAGACUCUUCAAUGAGGAGCCUGAUUAUAAAGAGGAAGAACCUCUACUCAAAAAGCAAAAGAAGAAGCAAAGCCCUAAAGAGCCUCCACCACCCCCACCAAUUAAGGUGGAGGAGAGUGAAGAGAGUGACACUUAGCCAACAAUGUCUGAGCAUACAGCUUCUGAGCAGACGGCCUCUGAAUAACAAGAGUCUGAACAUGCUGUAUCUGAAGGUCAUGAUUCAGAUCAACCUGAGUCUGAAGACCAUGAGUUUGAGGGACCAUCCACUGAGUCCCCUUCUACUGUGCCUCAAGAUGACAAAGACUCUCCAAUUCGGGGAACUUUGGUCAAAUGCAAAAAUCCUGAAUUUGAGAUGGCACUAGAUGGCUGAUCCCUAGAGCUCAGAAAAUCUUCUUUGAUGGGCUGCACAGAACUAACGGAAAGCUGUCAAGAGGCCAAUCUUUGAGGAAAAGACAAUCAUUACUAAGUGGUUGAGCAGUUAACCGGAGGUGGAGCAGAAAUUUCAUGCCUAUAAAUUGGGGUGGACUACACGAGGAGGAAAUGCAUUCUGCCUAAUACUAGUUAGGGAAUCCUAUGUGAACUACCAAGCUCGCUUAGAAAACAUGUGCAAAGAAGGAGAGGAAACAGCUGGCCAACCUUUGUUGGACAAAGUUCCUGUAUAGGGCGUAAUGGUAGAUGUUUCUCAAGCAAUAAUUAAUAGGUUCCUUCACAGCCAAAACUUUACUCCUUAGGUCACUUCACCUACUUUCUAUGCUUGACUGAAGCAUCGGGAAAAUUAGCAAACUUGGUUAGCCAUACUCAUAGAAGAUGGAGAACCAAAAUGCUUGACUAACCCAGGUGAAAGAAUCUUCAAAGCCUCACUGACAGCGGAGGCAAAAUUUUGGUGGGGUAUUGUUCAUACUUGGUUGAUGCCCAGAGAUGGUGAUAAUAUUCUCGAAGAUGAUAGAGCAAUAUUGUUGUUAUUUUUUUGGCUAACCUCAAAUUGAAUUUUGGAGAGAUUAUUAUCGAAGAGAUAAAGAUUCAUGUCUCGAGGUCUGAUACAACAUAUCCCUUCCCUUGUUUAAUUACAAGGUUAUGUAGGGCAGUAGAUGUGCCGAAGAUUGUAGGGUUAGAAGAAGAAAUCCUUGCCAAGAAGAGCCACAAUCCGAUCAAGAAUGAAGAAAAUCAGCCGAGGCUAAUAUUUGACAGGGGAGCAGAUCUUCGCACUGAGGUACUAGUUCAGUGCCUAAUGUAAAGAUGGCAGAAUCAUCAGUGCCCAAGACUGAGACAAAUCCUCCAGCUACUAUGCCUACAAUAGAAUUUGCCUUCACUCUAAUAAAUUUUAGGAAAGUAGUAAAGCAGUCCAAGUGGUGCGAGUCUCAGCUUAAACUCUCUGCCAAGCAAUUCACAAAUGCAGUUAACAAAAGAGUUAAGGUUGUACUUGAGCCUUACAAGGCCAUGUCUGGCCGGAUUGAUGAAUUGGAGAACUGCUUCAAUGCACGGUCGAAGAAGAGUUUUGACCCAGAGAUAUCACUACUUUGGUUAGAACUGGCCAAGGUGAAGGCGGAGGUUAGAAAUUUAUAGCAACACCAAUUUAUGGUGUCAUCAUAGCCGACAGUGGAAGAGUCUGAGGGAGAAUUUCCAUUAUUUGAUCUCACCGAGGAACUGGUAAGGAAAAAAAAAGAAAAGUGAGAAAAAAUAAAAAGGGAAGAGAGAGAGGCCCGAUAGUGAUAGAGAAAAGUAGAGAAGAGGGCAAGAAAGAAGAAUGAAAAGGAGGAACUGAAAAGGGAAAGAAUUGAAUCCCUAGUUGAUAAUGAGAUAUGGGAGACAACCAUCUAAGCAAGAGUUGCAGGUGCCUCUACUAGUUGGCCUUCAGAGACUGAUAAACCAGAUGCACCAUAUCAGAUCGAGGCUCCUGAUGGAGAUGCAGCAGCAGGGUCAGGAACCCAUGACCCCCAGGAUUUAAAUAUUUCAUGUAUCCCUUAUCCUAAGCUUAGAUUCUCUCUGAUUUUAAGUUGAGGGUGUAGAGUAAAUUAGUUGUUGUAAAAAUUUUUGUAGCCAGCAAGGAGAAGUACUUGUACUUGAGGUAGUUUAAUUGUUUUUGUGAUUUUUGUACACCUCUCAAGUUGUCUAAUUCUGUAACUACGUGAAUUUCAUUUAAGUGUGACCACUGUGUCUUUGUAUGGCAUUAGUUCUAGUAACAUAGUAACCAUUGCUAAAUAGUUGCAUGAACUGAAUGAGUUGUAGCUUGUGAUAUACUUAUGUGCCAUAUAUGUGUGAGCAACUACUUAGUUCCCUCUGUAUGCUAAAGCCAGAACUUACCCGGUUAGUCUUACCUAGGUUGAAGGAUAGGGGUCAGGAAAGGAUUAUAGGCCAUUUGGAUAUUAGCUCACUUUAGCCUAAAAUGACCUUCCCUAUAUGUAUCAUAUCCCUUGAUCUCUGAUUUGCGCCUAAUUUGCCUAUUUCUUUGUAUGACAACUGUCACCUUCCCAUUUAGAUUACAAUGAACCUGUUUUUGCCCUUGUCCUCCUUGGACACUAUGCACCUUGACUUACGAAAAUGGCCUAAGUUGAGGGUGGCUAUCAUAGGGGUGUGUGAUACAAAAUGAGUAUAAAGAAAGGUAGCAUAAAAGGAUAGAAUAAAAAUCUGGGUGCAGAAGAAAAAAAAAGAAAAAGAAAAAGAAAAAUUGUGAAAAAGAAUAAGUGAUUGAGAAAAGACUGCAUCCAUCCUAAAUCAGUGUGAUCAAGUGAAAAGAAGAGUAAAAAAGGCUAAUGAGUGAAACCCCAAAAAGUAGUGCAGUGCCAAGGAGACUUAGUCACUGUAAAGACCAUGAGUAUCCUACCAGCCCCUAACCUACAUUACAAACCUAAGAGAAGUCCUAUAGUGAUCCUUACUGACCUAUCCGGGUAAUGAAAAUAAAGGCAAGCCUAUGGUACAUGGCAUACACUAGUUGGAAUUUCAUUUUGAGAGCGAAUGUUUUGAUUGUCCCCAUGGUUACAUAUAUAAUUCAUGAUAUGAGAUGAGGGGGAUUUCUUUGUUGUGAGGGAAAACUGGGUACAUUGCUAGUUACUGAUUUGUUCGGGUAGUGUAAUAAUGAUCUAUGCAUGGUUUUUAUAACUGAGCUGAUGUUGUAUCUUGAUUCUUGUGUGUUGCAUUGGUGUUCUUCAUUGUUCUUGAAUUGAGUUACCUUGGAGAGGGUAAAAGUGUUUUGAGAUGAUAUAGAUGAUUAACUGUCAAGUGUACUUUGCAUUCUCUUAGUUGUGUUGAGUUGCUUGAGGACAAGCAAUUGUUUUAAGUAGAGGGUGUUGAUGUGUGAGCUAAUGCUAACACAUUUGAGGCUUUUAACUAAGAAUAAUUGUGAAGUCUUAACAAACUUUUAUGGUUUUUGAUUGGUUUAUAUUUGAUUUUGCAGUUUAAGCUGAUAUGAUAAAGAACCAACAAGAAUGGAACCAAAGAAGUUAAAAUCUAAAGAAAUCUGAAGAAAAGUGUGGCUGACGACAUUUGUGAUAAGUCGUCAGCCCUGUGAUAAGCGAUCAAGUUGGUAGUCAGCAGUAGACAAAGGAUUCGCCUAAAGUGGAAGCUGUGAUGACAUUUUGUGAUAGGUCGUCAAGUUUCUGAUAAGCUAUCAACAACAUCGUCAGCCUAAGGCAGCACAGGAGAAUUGAAGAAGAACCUUGACGACAUUUGUGAUAGGUCUUCAAGGUGCUGAUAAGUUGUCAAGCUUGUCUUCAUCCUUAAGCAAGAAGAGCCAAAAUUAAAGAAGGAGCUGACGACAUUUGUGUUAAGUCAUCAGUCUCCUAAUAGGCCAUCACAAAUGCCGUCAGUUAAUCCGAGGGCUUUCUGAUUUUUAUUAAUUUGUUUCCUUAUUUAGAGUGAACUAUUUAAAGAUUUGUUUUAGGGUUUUUCUGAAAGAGAAUUCCUCACAUAGAGUUCGACACAUUGAGUUUUUGAGAAUACUUUUGACAUUUUUCUCUCUCAACUUUUGGCCUUAAAAAGCAAAUACUUUGAAAUAUUAUUAUCAUUAUUUUGGGAUUUUUCUCUGUGAUCUAAUCUGCGAUUCAAUAGUUAUUAUUCUUCUUGUGGUAAGUUUAACUUUCAAAUAAUGAAUACAACUUGUUGUUUCGAUUUUAGCAUUAUGAGUGGCUAAAUUCCAUUAACCUGAUGUAACGCCCCAAAGUUUUUCUUAGGUAAAUUUUGUCCCUAAA